RNAcentral lists this unclassified non-coding RNA (495 nucleotides) under Zea mays. RNAcentral describes it as "misc RNA Zm00001eb230980". The record is from RNAcentral. Lineage: Eukaryota; Viridiplantae; Streptophyta; Magnoliopsida; Poales; Poaceae.
CAUGGUCAUGGCCUGCCUAUUUCAUACAUAUACUCCAUUGUACCUAAUAAAACAUAUAAUUCUUUCAUAAUUACUCACCUACAUUUUUCCUCUUGAUAGGCGACAUAGAUGGUUCCAGGAACUUGCCCUCACCAAAAGAAGCAAAAGGCAGGAACAAUGCCGGCUGCCAACCAGCAGCCACCACGCACACCAGUCAGAUUGACAAGGCAAAGUGCAGUCAUGCCUUCGCCUGGAGGCUGCCCGCCACCUAAGCCAAGACAUCCCUUGCCUCCUAAGACCACUUCGAAAGCCACCCCUAAAAGAAAUGCCAUUUCCAGUAGUACCCAACAACAGGUCCAGGCCAGUACAACAACUACUGAGACCACUGAAACUACAAACCCAGUGUCUUUUCCUCCAAAAAUGACCAGGUCCACUCAAGCAAUGUCUUCACCAGUUCGAAACACAAUGCCUGGACCUACUAGACACACCAUGCAUAGUCCUCCUAGAUUCACUAGG